RNAcentral lists this ribosomal RNA (650 nucleotides) under uncultured bacterium. Its description in RNAcentral is "bacterial SSU rRNA". It matches the Rfam family "Bacterial small subunit ribosomal RNA", at positions 8 to 653 of the family's 1533-position model. The record is from RNAcentral.
AGGGUUUGAUCAUGGCUCAGAACGAACGCUGGUGGCGUGCUUAACACAUGCAAGUCGAACGAGAAAGCUCUUCGGAGUGAGUAUAGUGGCGCACGGGUGAGUAAUGAAUAGGAACGUACCUUUUGGUGGGGAAUAACCUCGGGAAACCGGGGCUAAUACCGCAUAAGAUCGCAAGAUGAAAGAAGGCCUCUACUUGUAAGCUUUCGCCAAUAGAUCGGCCUAUUUCCCAUUAGCUUGUUGGUGGGGUAAAGGCCUACCAAGGCAACGAUGGGUAGCUGGUCUGAGAGGAUGAUCAGCCACACUGGAACUGAGACACGGUCCAGACUCCUACGGGAGGCAGCAGUGGGGAAUCUUGCACAAUGGGCGCAAGCCUGAUGCAGCAACGCCACGUGAGUGAAGAAGGCUCUUGGGUCGUAAAGCUCUUUCGGCUAGGAAGAAGGGAAGAGAGAUUAAUACUCUCACUUUUUGACGGUACUAGAAGAAGAAGCACUGGCUAAUUUCGUGCCAGCAGCCGCGGUAAUACGGAAGGUGCAAGCGUUGUUCGGAAUGACUGGGCGUAAAGAGCACGUAGGCGGGUUUGUAAGUCGGUUGUGAAAGCCCCGGGCUUAACCUGGGAACUGCAGCCGAAACUACAAGCCUUGAAUGUCUGA